UUUAAUUACAACCAUGAGUUUCCAUACCCAAUUUUGAUCGUCUGUCUUAUUUGAAAUUUUUUUAUAAUUAGUAUUUUUGUUGUUAUGAGAUAAUAAAACAUAAAUCGUAUUUUACUCGUGACUUAUAUUUUUCAUUUUUUUUUCAAAAACUUUUCAAAUAAGACGGACGAUCAAAGUUGGACGUGGAAAAUAAUGGCUACACUUAAA
This is a non-coding RNA of Oryza glumipatula, 207 nucleotides long. The record is from Rfam. NCBI's taxonomy places the organism in Eukaryota, Viridiplantae, Streptophyta, Magnoliopsida, Poales, Poaceae.